Molecule: ribosomal RNA, 374 nt
Filed under: uncultured organism
Description: bacterial SSU rRNA
Rfam family: Bacterial small subunit ribosomal RNA
Source: RNAcentral
CGGGGGGAGCAAGCGUUGUUCGGAUUUACUGGGCGUAAAGGGCGCGUAGGCGGUCAGCACAAGUCAGUUGUGAAAUCUCCGGGCUUAACUCGGAAAGGUCAACUGAUACUGUGCGACUAGAGUGCAGAAGGGGCAACUGGAAUUCUCGGUGUAGCGGUGAAAUGCGUAGAUAUCGAGAGGAACACCUGCGGCGAAGGCGGGUUGCUGGGCUGACACUGACGCUGAGGCGCGAAAGCCAGGGGAGCGAACGGGAUUAGAUACCCCGGUAGUCCUGGCCUUAAACGAUGGAUGCUUGGUGUCUGGGGUUAUAUAGUCUCCGGGUGCCGCAGCUAACGCGUUAAGCAUCCCGCCUGGGGAGUACGGUCGCAAGACUG